Molecule: ribosomal RNA, 2792 nt
Filed under: Klebsiella pneumoniae
Lineage: Bacteria; Pseudomonadati; Pseudomonadota; Gammaproteobacteria; Enterobacterales; Enterobacteriaceae
Description: bacterial LSU rRNA
Rfam family: Bacterial large subunit ribosomal RNA
Source: RNAcentral
UUAAGCGACUAAGCGUACACGGUGGAUGCCCUGGCAGUCAGAGGCGAUGAAGGACGUGCUAAUCUGCGAAAAGCGUCGGUAAGGUGAUAUGAACCGUUAUAACCGGCGAUGUCCGAAUGGGGAAACCCAGUGCAAUUCGUUGCACUAUCGUUAACUGAAUACAUAGGUUAACGAGGCGAACCGGGGGAACUGAAACAUCUAAGUACCCCGAGGAAAAGAAAUCAACCGAGAUUCCCCCAGUAGCGGCGAGCGAACGGGGAGCAGCCCAGAGUCUGAAUCAGCUUGUGUGUUAGUGGAACGGUCUGGAAAGUCCGACGGUACAGGGUGAUAGUCCCGUACACCAAAAUGCACAGGCUGUGAACUCGAAGAGUAGGGCGGGACACGUGGUAUCCUGUCUGAAUAUGGGGGGACCAUCCUCCAAGGCUAAAUACUCCUGACUGACCGAUAGUGAACCAGUACCGUGAGGGAAAGGCGAAAAGAACCCCGGCGAGGGGAGUGAAAAAGAACCUGAAACCGUGUACGUACAAGCAGUGGGAGCACCUUCGGGUGUGACUGCGUACCUUUUGUAUAAUGGGUCAGCGACUUAUAUUCUGUAGCAAGGUUAACCGUAUAGGGGAGCCGCAGGGAAACCGAGUCUUAACUGGGCGUUAAGUUGCAGGGUAUAGACCCGAAACCCGGUGAUCUAGCCAUGGGCAGGUUGAAGGUUGGGUAACACUAACUGGAGGACCGAACCGACUAAUGUUGAAAAAUUAGCGGAUGACUUGUGGCUGGGGGGGAAAGGCCAAUCAAACCGGGAGAUAGCUGGUUCUCCCCGAAAGCUAUUUAGGUAGCGCCUCGUGAACUCAUCUUCGGGGGUAGAGCACUGUUUCGGCUAGGGGGUCAUCCCGACUUACCAACCCGAUGCAAACUACGAAUACCGAAGAAUGUUAUCACGGGAGACACACGGCGGGUGCUAACGUCCGUCGUGAAGAGGGAAACAACCCAGACCGCCAGCUAAGGUCCCAAAGUCAUGGUUAAGUGGGAAACGAUGUGGGAAGGCACAGACAGCCAGGAUGUUGGCUUAGAAGCAGCCAUCAUUUAAAGAAAGCGUAAUAGCUCACUGGUCGAGUCGGCCUGCGCGGAAGAUGUAACGGGGCUAAACCAUGCACCGAAGCUGCGGCAGCGACACUAUGUGUUGUUGGGUAGGGGAGCGUUCUGUAAGCCUGCGAAGGUGUGCUGUGAGGCAUGCUGGAGGUAUCAGAAGUGCGAAUGCUGACAUAAGUAACGAUAAAGCGGGUGAAAAGCCCGCUCGCCGGAAGACCAAGGGUUCCUGUCCAACGUUAAUCGGGGCAGGGUGAGUCGACCCCUAAGGCGAGGCCGAAAGGCGUAGUCGAUGGGAAACAGGUUAAUAUUCCUGUACUUGGUGUUACUGCGAAGGGGGGACGGAGAAGGCUAUGUUAGCCGGGCGACGGUUGUCCCGGUUUAAGCAUGUAGGCUGGUUAUCCAGGCAAAUCCGGAUAAUCAAGGCUGAGGUGUGAUGACGAGGCACUACGGUGCUGAAGUAACAAAUGCCCUGCUUCCAGGAAAAGCCUCUAAGCAUCAGGUAACAUCAAAUCGUACCCCAAACCGACACAGGUGGUCAGGUAGAGAAUACCAAGGCGCUUGAGAGAACUCGGGUGAAGGAACUAGGCAAAAUGGUGCCGUAACUUCGGGAGAAGGCACGCUGGUGUGUAGGUGAAGUCCCUGCGGAUGGAGCUGAGACCAGUCGAAGAUACCAGCUGGCUGCAACUGUUUAUUAAAAACACAGCACUGUGCAAACACGAAAGUGGACGUAUACGGUGUGACGCCUGCCCGGUGCCGGAAGGUUAAUUGAUGGGGUUAUCCGUAAGGAGAAGCUCUUGAUCGAAGCCCCGGUAAACGGCGGCCGUAACUAUAACGGUCCUAAGGUAGCGAAAUUCCUUGUCGGGUAAGUUCCGACCUGCACGAAUGGCGUAAUGAUGGCCAGGCUGUCUCCACCCGAGACUCAGUGAAAUUGAACUCGCUGUGAAGAUGCAGUGUACCCGCGGCAAGACGGAAAGACCCCGUGAACCUUUACUAUAGCUUGACACUGAACAUUGAGCCUUGAUGUGUAGGAUAGGUGGGAGGCUUUGAAGCGUGGACGCCAGUCUGCGUGGAGCCAACCUUGAAAUACCACCCUUUAAUGUUUGAUGUUCUAACGUUGGCCCCUGACCGGGGUUGCGGACAGUGUCUGGUGGGUAGUUUGACUGGGGCGGUCUCCUCCCAAAGCGUAACGGAGGAGCACGAAGGUUAGCUAAUCCUGGUCGGACAUCAGGAGGUUAGUGCAAUGGCAUAAGCUAGCUUGACUGCGAGCGUGACGGCGCGAGCAGGUGCGAAAGCAGGUCAUAGUGAUCCGGUGGUUCUGAAUGGAAGGGCCAUCGCUCAACGGAUAAAAGGUACUCCGGGGAUAACAGGCUGAUACCGCCCAAGAGUUCAUAUCGACGGCGGUGUUUGGCACCUCGAUGUCGGCUCAUCACAUCCUGGGGCUGAAGUAGGUCCCAAGGGUAUGGCUGUUCGCCAUUUAAAGUGGUACGCGAGCUGGGUUUAGAACGUCGUGAGACAGUUCGGUCCCUAUCUGCCGUGGGCGCUGGAGAAUUGAGGGGGGCUGCUCCUAGUACGAGAGGACCGGAGUGGACGCAUCACUGGUGUUCGGGUUGUCAUGCCAAUGGCACUGCCCGGUAGCUAAAUGCGGAAGAGAUAAGUGCUGAAAGCAUCUAAGCACGAAACUUGCCCCGAGAUGAGUUCUCCCUGAGACU